Molecule: non-coding RNA, 30 nt
Filed under: Rattus norvegicus (Norway rat)
Lineage: Eukaryota; Metazoa; Chordata; Mammalia; Rodentia; Muridae
Source: RNAcentral
UAGAAUAUUUCUGGAAUACUAUAACUUUGU